AUUGAACGCUGGCGGCAGGCUUAACACAUGCAAGUCGAGCGGGGAAAGGUAGCUUGCUCCCUGACCUAGCGGCGGACGGGUGAGUAAUGCUUAGGAAUCUGCCCAUUAGUGGGGGACAACAUCUCGAAAGGGAUGCUAAUACCGCAUACGUCCUACGGGAGAAAGCAGGGGACCUUCGGGCCUUGCGCUAAUAGAUGAGCCUAAGUCGGAUUAGCUAGUUGGUGGGGUAAAGGCCUACCAAGGCGACGAUCUGUAGCGGGUCUGAGAGGAUGAUCCGCCACACUGGGACUGAGACACGGCCCAGACUCCUACGGGAGGCAGCAGUGGGGAAUAUUGGACAAUGGGGGGAACCCUGAUCCAGCCAUGCCGCGUGUGUGAAGAAGGCCUUUUGGUUGUAAAGCACUUUAAGCGAGGAGGAGGCUACCGAGAUUAAUACUCUUGGAUAGUGGACGUUACUCGCAGAAUAAGCACCGGCUAACUCUGUG
Molecule: ribosomal RNA, 485 nt
Filed under: uncultured bacterium
Lineage: Bacteria
Description: partial 16S ribosomal RNA
Rfam family: Bacterial small subunit ribosomal RNA
Source: RNAcentral